Non-coding RNA from Acanthosepion pharaonis, 108 nucleotides. Lineage: Eukaryota; Metazoa; Mollusca; Cephalopoda; Sepiida; Sepiidae. The record is from the annotation of a GenBank genome assembly.
ACAGCCACAUCACGUUGAAACACCGGUUCCCGUACGAUCACCGAAGUUAAGCAACGUCGAGCUGUUCAGUACCUAGAUGAAUAACCGCUUGGGAAUACCAGGUGCUAU